Molecule: ribosomal RNA, 327 nt
Filed under: Triticum aestivum (bread wheat)
Lineage: Eukaryota; Viridiplantae; Streptophyta; Magnoliopsida; Poales; Poaceae
Description: partial small subunit ribosomal RNA
Source: RNAcentral
UCGCCGCAACAGAAUGGCGUCGUCGAGCGGAGGAACCAGACAGUGCUCGGGAUGGCACGCUGCAUGCUCAAGGCAAAGCAGGUGCCGAGCACGUAUUGGGGGGAGGCCGUGCUGACGGCCGUCUUCAUCCUCAACCGCUCCUUCACAAGGAGCGUCGAUGGCAAGACGCCUUACGAGGCGUGGUAUGGGAGGAAGCCCGAUGUACGCUUCCUCCGUACCUUUGGCUGCGUCGGGCACGUCAACACGACACGCCCACAGCUGAAGAAGUUCGAUGAUAGGAGCACCCCAAUGGUGUUCAUGGGCUACGAGACGGGCUCUAAGGCGUAA